GUUUUAAUGAAAACAAUGCUUCUAUCAAAACAAUAAUUUAGUCAGCAAUAACAAACAAGAUCUAAUAGCUUUCUAAUACUGAAAAAAAUAUCACAGAAACUGCUAUAAAUAACAUGAAAUGUUCACCAUACAUUAAAUAAUGAGAGACAUAUACUAAAGCAGACACUGCUAUAAAUGACAUGAAUGGUUCACCAUACAUUAAAUAAUGAGAGACACAUACCAGAGCAGACACUGCUAUAAAUGACAUGAUGAUGAGUGGUUCACCAUACAUUAAAUAAUGAGAGACACAUACUAAAGCAGACAGUUAUAUAAAUAACAUGAAUGGUUCUCCACACAAUAAAUAGCAAAAGACUCAUACUUAAGCAGACAGCACUUUUAAUGACACUCAUUGAUCUCAAAAAUGGAUAAAAUUAACAAAUAGAAACGGAAAGAAAAUGUUUUCAACAAUGUAAGACAACUCUUCAACCUCUUAAAAGAGGAAAGUUUUAUAAGAGUUACCGGUAUCUGCCAUUGGGAACAGUAUAAACAUAUCUUUCAAAAAGAGAAUCUGAGUAGUUUACUUUUUUUAAAUCUUUAACAAUAUCAACAACUACUUUAAAAUUUAGAAUUUAUUGCAUUGUUUUAUUAUUGCAAGAAAUGUGACAGGGUUAUUAUAGCAAUAAUUCAAACUCACAUUUUGAAACUUUUUAUAUGAAUUAAACAAGAUUUUUCUCAAUACCGCAAAAAUUAAAAUUGCAAUUUAGUCUAAAAUGACAAAAUCACAAUAAUAAAUGCACACAAUAAUUUCUAAAUAUACAGUAACUCAAAAUUGGUCCAAUAAUGUUUCGAAAGCACAAAAACUCUUAAGAUGGUUUUAUUCAGCACUUUUUUCAGUACAUACAUAUGAUAUAUAUAUAUAUGUAUACCUGUAACAGUUUCUCAUGUGAUAACAAAUAUAAAUAGAAUAUAACACCAACUACUUCUCAUAUAUAUAAAAUUUACAGGCAUAAAUAUAACAUCAAAUGCCUUCUAUAUAUAAAUAUCUAUAUACAAAAUGUACAUAACAAGAGAGUUUUAUAAAUAUCAACAAUAUUUAAAAUUUGUACAAAGUGUAAAUAUUGAACAUUAAAAAUGAACACAAGAGUUUUAUGACAAAUAGUAUUAACUAAAUAUUUACACACUUAACUUUCAAGUUUCAGACAGUCAUUGCUUUGGUUACAGCACAAACUCCAGGCUUUUAAACUUUGAAUUAGCCAUAGUCAACAUAUUUUUUGGAAUGUCAAAAAAAUAAAUAACGGCAAAAUCGAUUUCAUUUUAUCAAGCCAAUUAUAAUUUUAUUUGAACUAAAUAGGUAUAUUGGUAUGCAAAUUACAUACAUGUAUAAAAGAUUACCAUUCAUGCAGCAGAGAAAAACAUUUUGUAGAAAUCACAGCCUAGAAAUGUAUUCAAUAUUGCUGAUGAUAUUUUCCAAAUGUCAAUUGAUAACAAAUUUCCAUUUCCCCAACAACAUGGAGUACAUACAGUUAGCUGGACUUGUUUUUUUCCUGAUUUUAAUAAAUGUGCAAAUUGUGAAAACUGUGUUAAUAAAGUUAAGAACCAUAAACCAGAAGCAAUUAAUUACAAGUUUAGAAAUAAAACUUUUUGCAGAUUUCUACUUUUUGCUACUUUUCAAUACAAUGCAUAUUUUAAUACAUAAUAUCAAUAUUUAUAUUGCUAAACAUUUUAUAUAACAGGGAUUUAAUUCUAUACAACAAUUUUAAAUUAAAAGUUACAACCUAAGAUGUUAAACUUUAUACUUCAAUGAAUAAAAUAAAUGUAUUUAAAACCAUUUGUAAACUUUAACUGUUUACUUUAAGUUACUAUCUAGUUAUCAGCAUUGAAACAGAAAAAACCUUGAUUUUAUCCCCCCGUUUAAAAUACAAGAAGUGAGAAGAUAAACCUUGGUCUAAUUAUGUUAUGUAAUCCCGAGUUCUUUCAAAAUUUUUCUUUGAAAAACAACUUUGAACCAGCUUUCACAGAAUUAACCUUUUCCCCAUCAAAAAUGAAUAAAAUCUUUUCAAUUUAUUUGAAAGUUUUCAAGUACAUAUUUUUUUACAAAUUUCAAUGACAACAAAAAACUUACUUUAUCAACAGGUGUGAUGUAUAAGUUGGCAAAAAUAUUUAAAGAGCCGUUUUAACAUUAAGUUAAAUUUAAAACCAUUAAAGUAUAACUAGAGAAAAAGGUACCAGACUUAAUGGUUUUAUCUUUUACUUCAAUUAAAGACUUAAGUAACAGAAAACUUCAUUUCAUUCAGUAUCUAAAUAUAAGUGUCUCCCAUUCUAAGAAAUCCAGAAAAAUUAAUAUGGAACAAACAUUUAUCAAUUCAAGGUAUUAUAGUUAUUACAUCUGUACAAUUUUAACAGAGGUUAUUGACUUUUUUGUGGUACUUACAAAUUAUUUUUUUUACAGUGCCAAAUAAACAUUUUCCAUUCUGUGUUAGAUUUAUGCUUUGUUACUACAUGUGUAUCAAUAAGGAGUUUUUUCAGUUCUAUAAGUAUGAAUUUGUAUUUCAAAAACAACCAAACAAAGUUUCUUUCAAAAUUGUUUCUUUAAGCUUCAAUACAUGUAUGUAUGAAUUAGGUACAAUUUUUCAAAAACAGCCAACCAAUGUUCAGUCAUUGAAAUUGGGGUUUGGCAUUUACAGGAUAAAAUUGACGAUUCUUUUUUCAAAUUUACAGAAUUAACAAAAAUUGUCAGGACAUGUUCUAUCAGUCUUGUACUAAUUGCGUGGACUGAAUGUUUCUAUAAAAAUUGCAAAUAAAAAUAACUGGUGUUGAAAAUAAACAGGAUUCCUUCAUAAAGAAGACCUGAAAGCCACAUUCCUGAGGUUUCUAGUCAUGUAACUUAACCACUGCAUCAGUAAGGAUAAUCAUAAAUAUAUUGCAUGGUAAUAAACUACAAUACAAUUAAAAUUUCACAGACAAUAAAAAGAAAAUCAAAUCCUUUUAUAUUUCUCUACAGUCAGAUAUGUAUGACAACCUAUUUAGUACAUAAUUCUCUGUAAGAUAGGUGUUAGAUAAGAUUUUCACACUGGAAAAUGUGAGAAACAUGUAAUAUAUUUGAUUCAUUUAAAUCAAUUUAUACGAGAAAACACUUUUAUUUAAGGAUGUUUGCUUGUCAUGUUUCAGAACUUUUGUCAGAUUUUCGAAAUUCUCUGGUUUUAUCCAUUUGAAUACCUUAAAAAAAUUUGCCCAUGGACCCCCUUUUUACUUUUUAUAAAUCUUUUACAGGUAUAAUUAUAAGCCAUUUGUUAAAGUCUUAUAAAAUCUUAUUUAUUUUUUAAUUAGUUUUUAAGAAUUUUAACUUGUCAAUGAUAAAGCUAUGAAAAAUCAAGUAAGAACAUUUUCCCGCCAAAAAUUCAAAUGGCUUAGAUAUCUCGAAAACAAGCACUUAGACCCCUUUAUUAUUUUUGCUUUUUUGAUUCCUCAAUUAAUCCCCUAUCAAUAUUUACUGUUUUAUGGAAAGUUAUUUAUUUUGAAACUGAGCAGCAAACUUCCUUAACGCUGAUUGUUGAUGUAUAUUGAAUGUUUUAUGUGAAAACUGGAUUUCUACACUCUAGUUGACAAGAUUAACAUUCCCAAAUGUCUUUUUUAAAGCAUUCAUCUGUAUUCCUUUGCACGGUAUUCAACCCAACCCUAAGAAACUUACUCAAGUAUUUUAAUUCUAUAACCAAUAUAUAUCCCAAUUAGAUAAUCAUCCCUUAGCUCAAUCUGCUGAAGUAGAUUUAAAGCUCAACAAACAUACAAAUGAUGUAAUAUCAAACCAUCUUAUACUAAAAAAAUACAGGUAUAGAUAACAAUUGAAAUAAAACCAAUGAAGUCA
This 3841-nucleotide long non-coding RNA is filed under the name Mytilus galloprovincialis (Mediterranean mussel). Lineage: Eukaryota; Metazoa; Mollusca; Bivalvia; Mytilida; Mytilidae. The record is from RNAcentral.